This 460-nucleotide ribosomal RNA is filed under the name uncultured bacterium. RNAcentral describes it as "partial 16S ribosomal RNA". It matches the Rfam family "Bacterial small subunit ribosomal RNA", at positions 338 to 795 of the family's 1533-position model. The record is from RNAcentral.
CCUACGGGUGGCAGCAGUGAGGAAUAUUGGUCAAUGGACGAGAGCCUGAACCAGCCAAGUAGCGUGAAGGAUGACUGCCCUAUGGUUUGUAAACUUCUUUUAUAAAGGAAUAAAACGAGGCACGUGUGCCUUUUUGCAUGUACCUUAUGAAUAAGGAUCGGCUAACUCCGUGCCAGCAGCCGCGGUAAUACGGAGGAUGCGAGCGUUAUCCGGAUUUAUUGGGUUUAAAGUGAGCGUAGAUGGGUUGUUAAGUCAGUUGUGAAAGUUUGCGGCUCAACCGUAAAAUUGCAGUUGAUACUGGCAGUCUUGAGUACAGUUGAGGUAGGCGGAAUGCGUGGUGUAGCGGUGAAAUGCUUAGAUAUCACGAAGAACCCCGAUUGCGAAGGCAGCUUACUAAACUAUGACUGACAUUGAUGCGCGAAAGUGUGGGGAUCAAACAGGAUUAGAUACCCUUGUAGUC